GGGGCAGCAUGAAGUUUGCUUGCAAACUUUGAUGGCGACCGGCGCACGGGUGAGUAACGCGUAUCCAACCUUCCCUAUAGUAGAGAAUAGCCCGGCGAAAGUCGGAUUAAUGCUCUAUGUUAUUCAAAGCGGACAUCUAAUUUGAAUCAAAGGUUCACCGCUAUAGGAUGGGGAUGCGUCUGAUUAGCUUGAUGGCGGGGUAACGGCCCACCAUGGCGACGAUCAGUAGGGGUUCUGAGAGGAAGGUCCCCCACAUUGGAACUGAGACACGGUCCAAACUCCUACGGGAGGCAGCAGUGAGGAAUAUUGGUCAAUGGGCGAGAGCCUGAACCAGCCAAGUAGCGUGCAGGAUGACGGCCCUAUGGGUUGUAAACUGCUUUUAUGCGGGGAUAAAGUCGGCUACGCGUAGCCGUUUGUAGGUACCGCAUGAAUGAGGACCGGCUAAUUCCGUGCCAGCAGCCGCGGUAAUACGGAAGGUCCGGGCGUUAUCCGGAUUUAUUGGGUUUAAAGGGAGCGCAGGCCGGAGGUCAAGCGUGACGUGAAAUGUAGGGGCUCAACCUUUGAAUUGCGUCGCGAACUGGUUUCCUUGAGUGAGUACGACGUCAGCGGAAUUCGUGGUGUAGCGGUGAAAUGCUUAGAUAUCACGAAGAACCCCGAUUGCGAAGGCAGCUGACGAGUCCUUUACUGACGCUAAAGCUCGAAGGUGCGGGUAUCGAACAGGAUUAGAUACCCUGGUAGUCCGCACGGUAAACGAUGGAUGCCCGCUGUUUGCGAUAUAUUGUAAGCGGCCAAGCGAAAGCGUUAAGCAUCCCACCUGGGGAGUACGCCGGCAACGGUGAAACUCAAAGGAAUUGACGGGGGCCCGCACAAGCGGAGGAACAUGUGGUUUAAUUCGAUGAUACGCGAGGAACCUUACCCGGGCUUGAACUGCAGGAGAACGAUCCAGAGAUGGUGAGGCCCUUCGGGGCUCCUGUGGAGGUGCUGCAUGGUUGUCGUCAGCUUGUGCCGUGAGGUGUCGGCUUAAGUGCCAUAACGAGCGCAACCCCUUUCGCCAGUUGCCAUCAGGUGAUGCUGGGCAC
Molecule: ribosomal RNA, 1079 nt
Filed under: uncultured bacterium
Lineage: Bacteria
Description: bacterial SSU rRNA
Rfam family: Bacterial small subunit ribosomal RNA
Source: RNAcentral